AGCAGUCGCCGCGGUAACACGAAGGGUGCAAGCGUUACUCGGAAUUACUGGGCGUAAAGCGUGCGUAGGUGGUGGUUUAAGUCCGUUGUGAAAGCCCUGGGCUCAACCUGGGAAUUGCAGUGGAUACUGGGUCACUAGAGUGUGGUAGAGGAUAGUGGAAUUUCCGGUGUAGCAGUGAGAUGCGUAGAGAUCGGAAGGAACAUCUGUGGCGAAGGCGACUAUCUGGGCCAACACUGACACUGAGGCACGAAAGCGUGGGGAGCAAACAGGAUUAGAUACCCGGUAGUCCCUGUCUCUUAUACA
This 303-nucleotide ribosomal RNA is filed under the name uncultured bacterium. RNAcentral describes it as "partial 16S ribosomal RNA". It matches the Rfam family "Bacterial small subunit ribosomal RNA", at positions 507 to 808 of the family's 1533-position model. The record is from RNAcentral.